GUUCAUUUUUCAGAAGAUUAGUUGCAUCUUUGACGCAUCCCUCCUCACCCCUUGCGUCAGUGCAUAGAUGGAGCUUCGAACCGCUGCACAGAUAAAUCGCGGAAUUGCCCUUUAAAGAAAAAACUAUUGAUGUCAGCUGCACUGCAAUAAGCAGAAUUAAAUGAUGGGUUGUUUGCGAGUGCUUCUCUUGAUAGGAAAGGGGAUUCCUGGAUAUGGAAAAAGUUUGCAUGCUCUUCUGUUUGUGGAGCUUGCUUUCCUUAUUUUUUGCCGUCUGUUUGCAUUUGAUCACUUUCCCCUAAAUCCCAGACAUUGUUUAUUUCCAUCUACGUUUUACGCUCUGGGUCGAGUGUUAGGAAGCAUACGCGGACAUAUCAGGUGGUCGGAGAAGUGGGGUUGGCUUUGAGGGGGGUCCACUAAAUAGGGUCAAGAUUACAAAGCACUUACUGUACUAUAUAGGAGUUUGCUUCUUUCUUGUUUUUUGUUUGUUUGUUUUUUUUAUAUGAAGGAGCAUCUCCUCAUUUGAAGCUCUUGAAGUUGAGUAAAAACCGCACAGCUGUGUAUCCCCCCUUUCCCUCCAUGUCCAGUCCUCCUACAUCUUGUCCUGUCACAUUCUUUUGCAGUUUUUAUGCUGUCUUUGUUUAUCUGUUGACAAGUCUGAGGUCUCUUCUCAUUUUUCCGCUUGUUCUCCUUCCUCUACCCAUUUUUUUUUAUUUUUUUUGUUAGACCCAUCAAUGGAUAUGGUCAUCAAGAAGCUAUUUUUUUUUUUUUUUUUUUUUUUUAAAGAGAAACGUUUUGGGGAUAAAGAGGCUCGUGCCUUUGUAAAGACAGAAUAAUAAAGUUUGUACUUUGUUUUGUAAACACUGGGCUUUCUGUGUGUCUUUUCUGUUUCUCUGGUAACAGUUAUUCUAACACAAAUAGUGACAUAACCAGCUGAAUUUGAUUCAUUUCCAGUUCUGUUUGGCUGUUACUCAAGCAGUCGAGUUGAUGCACAAGUGUCUGUUCCUGAUUGGUGGAUGGGCUGUUCAAGCCUCCCUCCCUCCCCUGCUCAGUUGCUCAUGGCUAAAUUAAGACUGACCACCUUCUCUGUAACAGUUAAAAUUUACACCAGGGACGGUAGACUGCAUCUCCCGUUGUCAUCCUGUCUCUUGCCUCUUGUUCACACGCUCGCACAUCUUGUAGAGAUACUGCUGGUUUUGGUGUCUGGGGUCAGCUGUUCGUGUCAUAUCAGGAUGUUCU
This is a long non-coding RNA of Astatotilapia calliptera (eastern happy), 1236 nucleotides long. The record is from Ensembl. NCBI's taxonomy places the organism in Eukaryota, Metazoa, Chordata, Actinopteri, Cichliformes, Cichlidae.